Pelobates cultripes (western spadefoot toad) is the source of this 279-nucleotide non-coding RNA. The record is from the annotation of a GenBank genome assembly. Lineage: Eukaryota; Metazoa; Chordata; Amphibia; Anura; Pelobatidae.
CUGCAAUGAAUAACAUUUUUUAUAGAGUAUGUUCUUUUAGUAAUAAAUGAUUUGAAAGAGGUAAUUUUUGAUUUGAUGUUCUCGUCCGUAUGUUUACAUACUAUGCAUUUGUUGAAUUUAAAGAAACCCUUUGGCUUGUUAGGAAAAAAGGGGGGACAGAGAGGAGAGGUAGUUUGAUUUUGUUUUGUAUAGUUCUUUGUGAGGAUGGAUUUAAAGCUAGGUGCCCCCCUAAAUAUAACGUGUGGCUUAUCGGGGAUAAUCCCAGCUAGAAUCUCAUCC